AUAUAUAUACAUGUAUAUAUAUUUAUUUAUAAAAAAUUUGAUUGCACAUUUAAAAAAAAUAUGAAAAUAAAAUAUAAAUGCGCGUGCGUUGCGGCGAGUUGUAAAAUAGUAAGGAACCCAACCUUAUCUGAUAAAAUCGUGACAGACGUCAAGUGCGAUUCUGUUUCGUACUUGAUCAGUUAGAAACUCGAAUGAUUCGUUUGUUUGGAAAAGGAAAUACAAAAGAGACAAUGGCUGGACGUAAAAAAGCUGAUAGAUCGUCUAGAUCGGUAUCUAAAAAUACAAGACAACAUAAUUCAGAUGCAAUGUUUCCAUCAUUAUCAUCAUCCGACGAAGACGAUCAGCUGUCUGGAAGACGCGACAGAACCAUAACUCAGGAUCACCCAAGUAGAAAUCGCAUUGUUGAAAAUGAUCAACAGACAGGUCAAGAUGUUUCACGUCGUGAAGAAAAUCCAUUUAGUUUUAAACACUUUUUAAAAGGUGAAAGUCAAACUAAUUAUUACAAGACCGGUGCAAGGCCAAAGAUUUAUUCAUCAUCUGCUACGAGUCCUAACAAUGUUGAAAAAGACACCGGUGGUGUAUAUUCUAGAAAUCCAACUGAACUACCUGAUUUUGUACAAGAUCAUUUAGUCAUAGAACAAUGCUACUUAAAUCAUGUAUUUGCUCAACCAACUAUACCUGAAGUUGAUAAUCUACCUGAUUUUGCAUUGAACAGUGUAGAACAAAGGCAACCACGGCAAAGAAAUGAUUCGAAAAAGACACAACCACAAUUAUUGCCAGAUAUUCCUUUUGAUCUUACUGGUUCGAUAGACAAAGCUAUAUCUCAUAAUGAUUAUUUUCUUUCUAAUGCUACCUGUUCGAAUAGCAUCAAUAUACCUGUAUUCAACGCUGUUGAUAACAUUGUUGAGACAUCUGAGUCAGCAUCAGACUCUGGUGAACCAGAAGUUAGUAAUAAUGUUGUUACUAGAGAUUGCACGCCUACAACUGAUUCAAACUUACCAAAAUUAUUACCAGAUUUUUUAAAUGAUGGCCCAAUUCAUAGUAGAACGAAUCUUUCCAAUGAUAUUGGAUCUAAUUCGCAACCUAAUAUGGUAGAAUCAACAGAACGAAGGCUUUUAUUAGAAAAUGAUAGGCUAAGGCAAGAAUUGGACUCGGCUCAUAGAAAAAUUAAUGAAAAAUCAAUUAGAAUUGUAAUGUUAGAAGCAGAAUUGGCUUCUAGAAAAGAAGUGGAUUACGAAGAAACUGCACAUCUUGAAAAAGCGGUGGAACAAGUUGAAGAUAAUUUAAAACGUAGUACGAAAAGAGCGCUUAGCGCAGAAAAUACAGUAACAUCGUUAAAAAAAGAAAUUAGGACAUUAACGAGCUAUCGUCAUUACGAUUGGAAAAUAAGAAACUUAGAUCUGCCAUUAAUGAUAACAAAAAGAACGAAUGUGAUGAAUCUUCUGAGAACAUAGAUAGAACUGUACGAAGACUUGCAGGUGAAUUAAGGACUGCUGCAUCAACGGCUGAAAUCUCAUUGAGACAAUUGAUGUCUGGAGUGGAGAAUCUAAGGGUACUUGCAUCUACCCUUGAAAAUGUGGACAGAAUAGAA
RNAcentral lists this unclassified non-coding RNA (1591 nucleotides) under Polistes dominula (European paper wasp). RNAcentral describes it as "uncharacterized LOC107071803, transcript variant X2". The record is from RNAcentral. Lineage: Eukaryota; Metazoa; Arthropoda; Insecta; Hymenoptera; Vespidae.